AGCUUUGCGCAGUGGCAGUAUCGUAGCCAAUGAGGUUUAUCCGAGGCGUGAUUAUUGCUAAUUAAAAUGGGGACAGCAAUAAUAGCCCUGAUUAACAUAGGUUAAAUGUUUCAGGAAUUCUAAAACACUAUACUAUGUUAGU
This is a small nuclear RNA of Neomonachus schauinslandi (Hawaiian monk seal), 142 nucleotides long. RefSeq annotates it as U4 spliceosomal RNA. The transcript has a single exon. The record is from RefSeq and is a predicted model, not a curated record. NCBI's taxonomy places the organism in Eukaryota, Metazoa, Chordata, Mammalia, Carnivora, Phocidae.